RNAcentral lists this ribosomal RNA (482 nucleotides) under uncultured bacterium. RNAcentral describes it as "partial 16S ribosomal RNA". It matches the Rfam family "Bacterial small subunit ribosomal RNA", at positions 30 to 507 of the family's 1533-position model. The record is from RNAcentral.
AUUGAACGCUGGCGGCAUGCCUUACACAUGCAAGUCGAACGGUAACGGGCCUUCGGGUGCCGACGAGUGGCGAACGGGUGAGUAAUACAUCGGAACGUGCCCGAUCGUGGGGGAUAACGAGGCGAAAGCUUUGCUAAUACCGCAUACGAUCUACGGAUGAAAGCAGGGGGCCGCAAGGCCUUGCGCGGACGGAGCGGCCGAUGGCAGAUUGGGUAGUUGGUGGGAUAAAAGCUUACCAAGCCGACGAUCUGUAGCUGGUCUGAGAGGAUGAUCAGCCACACUGGGACUGAGACACGGCCCAGACUCCUACGGGAGGCAGCAGUGGGGAAUUUUGGACAAUGGGCGCAAGCCUGAUCCAGCCAUGCCGCGUGCAGGAUGAAGGCCUUCGGGUUGUAAACUGCUUUUGUACGGAACGAAAAGCCUUCUUUUAAUACAGGAGGGUCAUGACGGUACCGUAAGAAUAAGCACCGGCUAACUACGUG